UAGCUACCAUGCAGUCGAACGGCAGCACAGAGGAGCUUGCUCCUUGGGUGGCGAGUGGCGGACGGGUGAGGAAUACAUCGGAAUCUACUUUUUCGUGGGGGAUAACGUAGGGAAACUUACGCUAAUACCGCAUACGACCUACGGGUGAAAGCAGGGGACCUUCGGGCCUUGCGCGAUUGAAUGAGCCGAUGUCGGAUUAGCUAGUUGGCGGGGUAAAGGCCCACCAAGGCGACGAUCCGUAGCUGGUCUGAGAGGAUGAUCAGCCACACUGGAACUGAGACACGGUCCAGACUCCUACGGGAGGCAGCAGUGGGGAAUAUUGGACAAUGGGCGCAAGCCUGAUCCAGCCAUACCGCGUGGGUGAAGAAGGCCUUCGGGUUGUAAAGCCCUUUUGUUGGGAAAGAAAUCCAGCCGGCUAAUACCUGGUUGGGAUGACGGUACCCAAAGAAUAAGCACCGGCUAACUUCGUGCCAGCAGCCGCGGUAAUACGAAGGGUGCAAGCGUUACUCGGAAUUACUGGGCGUAAAGCGUGCGUAGGUGGUUGUUUAAGUCUGUUGUGAAAGCCCUGGGCUCAACCUGGGAACUGCAGUGGAAACUGG
Molecule: ribosomal RNA, 599 nt
Filed under: Stenotrophomonas maltophilia
Lineage: Bacteria; Pseudomonadati; Pseudomonadota; Gammaproteobacteria; Lysobacterales; Lysobacteraceae
Description: bacterial SSU rRNA
Rfam family: Bacterial small subunit ribosomal RNA
Source: RNAcentral